UGGUAAAAUGGUACCUGGCUUACGU
Molecule: non-coding RNA, 25 nt
Filed under: Mus musculus (house mouse)
Lineage: Eukaryota; Metazoa; Chordata; Mammalia; Rodentia; Muridae
Source: RNAcentral